AUUGAACGCUGGCGGCAUGCCUUACACAUGCAAGUCGAACGGCAGCACGGGUGCUUGCACCUGGUGGCGAGUGGCGAACGGGUGAGUAAUAUAUCGGAACGUACCCUAGUGGGGGGGAUAAAGCCGCGAAAGCUGUGCUAAUACCGCAUAAUCCGUAAGGGGGAGAGCGGGGGACCGUAAGGCGCCGCGCAAUUAGAGCGGCCGAUACCUGAUUAGCUAGUUGGGGAGGUAAAGGCUCACCAAGGCAACGAUCAGUAGCUGGUCUGAGAGGACGAUCAGCCACACUGGGACUGAGACACGGCCCAGACUCCUACGGGAGGCAGCAGUGGGGAAUUUUGGACAAUGGGGGCAACCCUGAACCAGCAAUGCCGCGUGAGUGAAGAAGGCCUUCGGGUUGUAAAGCUCUUUUGUCAGGGAAGAAACAGCAGCUCUAACACAGUAUGCGAAUGACGGUACCUGAAGAAUAAGCACCGGCUAACUACGUGCCAGCCGCCGCAGUAA
Molecule: ribosomal RNA, 501 nt
Filed under: uncultured bacterium
Lineage: Bacteria
Description: partial 16S ribosomal RNA
Rfam family: Bacterial small subunit ribosomal RNA
Source: RNAcentral